ACUCCUACGGGAGGCAGCAGUGGGGAAUAUUGCACAAUGGGCGCAAGCCUGAUGCAGCCAUGCCGCGUUGUGUGAAAGAAGGCCUUCGGGUUGUAAAGCACUUUCAGUUGUGAGAAGGUGGUGUUGUGAAUAGCAGCAUCAUUUGACGUUAGCAACAGAAGAAGCACCGGCUAACUCCGUGCCAGCAGCCGCGGUAAUACGGAGGGUGCGAGCGUUAAUCGGAAUUACUGGGCGUAAAGCGCAUGCAGGUGGUUUGUUAAGUCAGAUGUGAAAGCCCGGGGCUCAACCUCGGAACUGCAUUUGAAACUGGCAGACUAGAGUACUGUAGAGGGGGUAGAAUUUCAGGUGUAGCGGUGAAAUGCGUAGAGAUCUGAAGGAAUACCGGUGGCGAAGGCGGCCCCUGCAGCAGAUACUGACACUCAGAUGCGAAAGCGUGGGGAGCAAACAGGAUUAGAUACCCUGGUAGGACAGU
Molecule: ribosomal RNA, 472 nt
Filed under: uncultured bacterium
Lineage: Bacteria
Description: bacterial SSU rRNA
Rfam family: Bacterial small subunit ribosomal RNA
Source: RNAcentral